GAUGAAGAACGUAGCGAAAUGCGAUAAGUAAUGUGAAUUGCAGAAUUCAGUGAAUCAUCGAAUCUUUGAACGCACAUUGCGCCCGCCAGUAUUCUGGCGGGCAUGCCUGUUCGAGCGUCAUUUCAACCAUCAAGCCCCAGGCUUGUGUUGGAGCCCUGCGGCUGCCGCAGCCUCCCAAAACCAGUGGCGGGCUCGCUAUCACACCGAGUGCAGUAGUUUACUCUUCGCUCAGGGCGUGUGGCGGGUGCUAGCCGUGAAACCCCCAACUUCUCAAGGUUGACCUCGGAUCAGGUAGGAAUACCCGCUGAACUUAAGCAUAUCAAUAAGCGAGGA
RNAcentral lists this unclassified non-coding RNA (333 nucleotides) under soil metagenome. RNAcentral describes it as "partial contains 5.8S ribosomal RNA, internal transcribed spacer 2, and large subunit ribosomal RNA". The stretch from base 1 to 120 matches the Rfam family "5.8S ribosomal RNA", at positions 35 to 154 of the family's 154-position model. The record is from RNAcentral.